This 61-nucleotide ribosomal RNA is filed under the name Fusarium meridionale. Its description in RNAcentral is "partial 28S ribosomal RNA". It matches the Rfam family "Eukaryotic large subunit ribosomal RNA", at positions 1 to 60 of the family's 3401-position model. Lineage: Eukaryota; Fungi; Ascomycota; Sordariomycetes; Hypocreales; Nectriaceae. The record is from RNAcentral.
UUGACCUCGGAUCAGGUAGGAAUACCCGCUGAACUUAAGCAUAUCAAUAAGCGGAGGAUUA